RNAcentral lists this transfer RNA (25 nucleotides) under Passiflora mandonii. RNAcentral's name for it is "partial tRNA-Phe". The record is from RNAcentral. Lineage: Eukaryota; Viridiplantae; Streptophyta; Magnoliopsida; Malpighiales; Passifloraceae.
UCGGGGAUAGCUCAGCUUGGUAGAG